RNAcentral lists this ribosomal RNA (758 nucleotides) under uncultured bacterium. RNAcentral's name for it is "bacterial SSU rRNA". It matches the Rfam family "Bacterial small subunit ribosomal RNA", at positions 8 to 796 of the family's 1533-position model. The record is from RNAcentral.
AGAGUUUGAUCAUGGCUCAGAAUCAACGCUGGCGGCGCGCCUAACACAUGCAAGUCGAACGAGAAAGCAGGAGCAAUCUUGUGAGUAAAGUGGCGUACGGGUGAGUAACACGUGGAUUAUCUACCCUCUUGUGGGGGAUAACCCUGGGAAACCGGGGCUAAUACCGCAUAAGCUCGAGAGAGGAAAGCAGCAAUGCGCAGGAGGAGGAGUCCGCGGCCGAUUAGCUAGUUGGUAGGGUAAAAGCCUACCAAGGCUACGAUCGGUGGCCGGCCUGAGAGGGCACACGGCCACACUGGCACUGAAACACGGGCCAGACUCCUACGGGAGGCAGCAGUGGGGAAUCUUGCACAAUGGGGGCAACCCUGAUGCAGCGACGCCGCGUGAGCGAUGAAGCCCUUCGGGGUGUAAAGCUCUUUCGGCAGGGAAGAUUAUGACGGUACCUGCAGAAGCAGCUGCGGCUAACUACGUGCCAGCAGCCGCGGUAAUACGUAGGCAGCAAGCGUUGUUCGGAGUUACUGGGCGUAAAGGGUGUGUAGGCGGUUCUCUAAGUCUGGUGUGAAAUCUCCCGGCUCAACUGGGAGGGUGCGCCGAAAACUGGAGGACUAGAGUGCGGGAUGGGAGAGUGGAAUUCCUGGUGUAGCGGUGAAAUGCGUAGAUAUCAGGAGGAACACCUGUGGUGUAGACGGCUCUCUGGACCGCAACUGACGCUGAGACACGAAAGCGUGGGUAGCAAACAGGAUUAGAUACCCUAGUAGUCC